GUAGGUGAACCUGCGGAAGGAUCAUUACCGAGUAUUGGGGCCCUCUAGGUCUCUACUCCCACCCUAUGUGUACCAAUCUCAGUUGCUUUGGCGGGUCGCUGGUUCUGACCACCGCUGGCUUUUAAGUUGGCGAGUACCCGCCGGAGGACCCUUAAAACUCGUUUUAACGGUGGCUCUGAGUGAAUCUUUAAAUAGAAAAAAACUUUCAACAACGGAUCUCUUGGUUCUGGCAUCGAUGAAGAACGCAGCA
This 250-nucleotide unclassified non-coding RNA is filed under the name plant metagenome. RNAcentral describes it as "partial contains small subunit ribosomal RNA, internal transcribed spacer 1, and 5.8S ribosomal RNA". The stretch from base 201 to 250 matches the Rfam family "5.8S ribosomal RNA", at positions 1 to 50 of the family's 154-position model. The record is from RNAcentral.